ACGAAUAUCAAAGUCGACCCACCCUGUGCUGGUGCUUUGCACAUGUGCACGUCUGGGUCGCAAAUCCACACACCUGUGCAUAUCUGACUUUGAGUGCUUUUCCUCUAUGAGGGGUUUGAUCACCAUCAAACCAGCACUCGAGUAUUUUCACACGCUCUGAAUGGAAAAGAAUGUAUAUUGUGCAUAAUGUGCAAACAAAA
Molecule: unclassified non-coding RNA, 200 nt
Filed under: uncultured Sebacinales
Lineage: Eukaryota; Fungi; Basidiomycota; Agaricomycetes; Sebacinales
Description: sequence contains ITS1
Source: RNAcentral